GAGUUUGAUCGUGGCUCAGAUUGAACGCUGGCGGCAUGCCUUACACAUGCAAGUCGAACGGUAACAGGUCUUCGGAUGCUGACGAGUGGCGAACGGGUGAGUAAUACAUCGGAACGUGCCCGAUCGUGGGGGGAUAACGAAGCGAAAGCUUUGCUAAUACCGCAUAAGAUCUACGGAUGAAAGCAGGGGACCGCAAGGCCUUGCGCGAACGGAGCGGCCGAUGGCAGAUUAGGUAGUUGGUGGGAUAAAAGCUUACCAAGCCGACGAUCUGUAGCUGGUCUGAGAGGACGACCAGCCACACUGGGACUGAGACACGGCCCAGACUCCUACGGGAGGCAGCAGUGGGGAAUUUUGGACAAUGGGCGAAAGCCUGAUCCAGCCAUGCCGCGUGCAGGAUGAAGGCCUUCGGUUG
RNAcentral lists this ribosomal RNA (412 nucleotides) under uncultured microorganism. Its description in RNAcentral is "bacterial SSU rRNA". It matches the Rfam family "Bacterial small subunit ribosomal RNA", at positions 9 to 425 of the family's 1533-position model. The record is from RNAcentral.